RNAcentral lists this ribosomal RNA (623 nucleotides) under Lactococcus lactis. RNAcentral's name for it is "bacterial SSU rRNA". It matches the Rfam family "Bacterial small subunit ribosomal RNA", at positions 75 to 684 of the family's 1533-position model. The record is from RNAcentral. Lineage: Bacteria; Bacillati; Bacillota; Bacilli; Lactobacillales; Streptococcaceae.
GGUACUUGUACCGACUGGAUGAGCAGCGAACGGGUGAGUAACGCGUGGGGAAUCUGCCUUUGAGCGGGGGACAACAUUUGGAAACGAAUGCUAAUACCGCAUAAAAACUUUAAACACAAGUUUUAAGUUUGAAAGAUGCAAUUGCAUCACUCAAAGAUGAUCCCGCGUUGUAUUAGCUAGUUGGUGAGGUAAAGGCUCACCAAGGCGAUGAUACAUAGCCGACCUGAGAGGGUGAUCGGCCACAUUGGGACUGAGACACGGCCCAAACUCCUACGGGAGGCAGCAGUAGGGAAUCUUCGGCAAUGGACGAAAGUCUGACCGAGCAACGCCGCGUGAGUGAAGAAGGUUUUCGGAUCGUAAAACUCUGUUGGUAGAGAAGAACGUUGGUGAGAGUGGAAAGCUCAUCAAGUGACGGUAACUACCCAGAAAGGGACGGCUAACUACGUGCCAGCAGCCGCGGUAAUACGUAGGUCCCGAGCGUUGUCCGGAUUUAUUGGGCGUAAAGCGAGCGCAGGUGGUUUAUUAAGUCUGGUGUAAAAGGCAGUGGCUCAACCAUUGUAUGCAUUGGAAACUGGUAGACUUGAGUGCAGGAGAGGAGAGUGGAAUUCCAUGGGUAGCGGGUG